GAGUGAGACAAUGUAAACAGUGUGAGAUCUCUCAGAUGGACUGAGUGUAACAGUUUUGUAGACUGUUACAAACUCAAGGUUGGUUACGCUAGCCUGAAUAGGCCCAAGUUUCAAGUUCCUAGAAAACACAUGAUCUGUACUGUUACAUUAGUAUUAGGUAAUGGCUAAUGCUAAAUAAGGAUAAAAUAGCUAGGAUUAGUAGUAUUAUAAUGAGAUUCCUUGUUUCUGGGGUAGAUUUUUCACGUUUUAGAUUGUAAGGCUGCAAUUCCUGUCCAAUGGGAAUUUACAGCCAGUGGUGGGUGAGUGCCUCAGCUUUAGGACUAUAUAACCUUUGUUCUGACCUUUGUGCCUUGCCUCGCUUCGCUCAGACUGCCGGACGAAGCAGACGCCCGCUUCUUGCGAGAACGUCAUAAAUCUUUCACUUUAUACCUAGAAAAUCUCUGAGUGUUAUUUUUGGGUAACUGUAGCAUACAGUAUUUGGUGCGUUGGCCGGGAAAACGUGACCAGGUGGAAGGACAGAGUCCUGGUCCUCUUGGGUCGGCGCGCCCUGACUUAAUUUUAGGCAGCCCAUGCUGCUUGGGAUUUCUUCCCCUUGCACCAGGUGAAGUGACCCGAAGUGGAGAGGCUGGGUGUAUAGUGAAAGUAAAGGAGAGUACUCUGCGGCAAAUCCCCGACCGUCGGUGUGGACAGAGCAGUCAGAGGGAUUACUACAACUGGAUGAGCCAAAAAUACAUGCAAAAAAAAAUGCAAGAAAUUUUGGAGAAGCAGGACGCGAAGAAAAGGAGAAUCAAAAAGGUCUCUCGAGGAAGAAGCAAAUUUAACCAAGCCUUAAAAGGAUCUGAGAGUUCUAAGAGACAAGAGGUGAAGAAAGAGAGUCUAUCAAGAUUGGGAGACAGAUUGCACAACAGUAGAGAGGCAGAGACUGCAUUUUAUAUGUAUAAAAGUGGUUACCUUUGCCCACUGCCUGAAGGCCAGACGGACUAGAUUUCACCCUUCUCUCAAGAUUUUCUGGUAGUUUAUGAUUCUGGAGAGAGUAUAGAAGAUAGCCCAGAGUGUCAAACACUGUGGUAAGGACAAGAAAGAUAGGAAGUGAGAAAAUAUCAUGUGUUUGAAGGAGAAGAGAGAGACAGAGACAGAGACAGAGACAGAGAUAGAGACAGACAGGCAGAGAGAGAGAGAUUAUUGAUGACUAUAGGGAAAUCA
RNAcentral lists this long non-coding RNA (1203 nucleotides) under Phascolarctos cinereus (koala). RNAcentral's name for it is "lncRNA (ENSPCIG00000017035.2)". Lineage: Eukaryota; Metazoa; Chordata; Mammalia; Diprotodontia; Phascolarctidae. The record is from RNAcentral.